RNAcentral lists this ribosomal RNA (500 nucleotides) under uncultured bacterium. Its description in RNAcentral is "bacterial SSU rRNA". It matches the Rfam family "Bacterial small subunit ribosomal RNA", at positions 28 to 531 of the family's 1533-position model. The record is from RNAcentral.
GACGAACGCUGGCGGCGUGCUUAACACAUGCAAGUCGAACGGACGAGUGAGAUAGGUUUACUUAACUCACAAGUUAGUGGCGGACGGGUGAGUAACACGUGGAUAAUCUACCUGCAACACCGGGAUAACGCUGUGAAAACGGUGCUAAUACCGGAUACGUUCCCUUGUGCGCAUGUAUGAGGGAAGAAAGCUCAGGCGGUUGCAGAUGAGUCCGCGGCUGAUUAGCUAGUUGGUGAGGUAAAGGCUCACCAAGGCGAUGAUCAGUAGCCGGCCUGAGAGGGUGAACGGCCACACUGGGACUGAGACACGGCCCAGACUCCUACGGGAGGCAGCAGUGGGGAAUCUUCCGCAAUGGGCGCAAGCCUGACGGAGCAACGCCGCGUGGGUGAAGAAGGCCUUCGGGUUGUAAAAGCCCUGUCUUAUGGGAAGAAGUCAGUGACGGUACCAUAGGAGGAAGCCACGGCUAACUACGUGCCACAGCCGCGGUAAAGCUACGUAGA